GAAAGUUUCAACAAAUCCUGUUUUUAUUGGCCCCACCAAGCACUCCUGAUUCUUUGAGUUGCUUGUUGCCGCUAAUUCCUGAGGCAAGAUUCUCAGGUAAAAUCAGCCUCUCUGUUAGCUUUCCUCAUGACAGGCUCAGGUUCCAGCUUUCUUGGGUCUGCCACGUCAAGGGCGGCUUCUCCAUCCCCCAUUUUGCAAUUUCCAAAAUAUUGAUUCCGGUUUCCCUCUGAACCUUCUCUCUCAUUUUCUUUGUCUUUGCAGAUUUAUGCCUUUUUUCUUUCUUCAUUGUCACUUUAGGAUAGUUUCAGAAGGAGGCUGAAAUAAACAGUUUCAGAGUUAUCCCUUCAUAACAACUUGGAAGGACAUUUUCAAAUGUAGCAUUCUCAAGCUUCUCAAGGUUCCAGCUAGGACAUGGAAAUGUGGAACGAGCUGACUCCAUCCUCUGGCUUCCAGCUUAUGGCUUGUCUCUCUUCUCUUCCAUCCCAGUUCAGAUUCUCACUAGAAACACAGAAGGACAAAGGGCUGGCCCCAGCUCAUGCAAGUGUGAGACCAAGGAAACUUCCUGGCUUUCGUCAUUUAUUUAGCACGUUGAGGCAGCCAGUUAGCUCAGAACAUUCUGAAAAACGGUGGCGACUCAGAUUCCUGGGAAAGACCCUGAAUUACUUGAACCUGUGUGAAAAAAUUCUGACACUGAACACACCUUCAAAUACUGACAAAUGUGGAUUGGUUUCAGCACACCCAGCCUCUGUGAGAACUUGGAUGCUUUUUCAGACUUAAAUUCAGCUUAUUUACAUUUCUGCAGCAUAUAAAUUACAGCCAGAGGAAGCAUUAAGCAAGUCUUGCCUCCUGAGGUGAAAGAAAGAUUAGAAGACUCUGUUCAGCACAGGGAAUCCAGCUGAAGGACUGUGUUACAGUGGGUCAGAGUGAGAACAGGCAACAUUGUGCCUGGUGGUGGCCUGGAGGCCACUGAGGCAACAGCCAUAGGACUGUCCCAGGGGGCUUUGGCUCCUGUUGACUCUCCCGGGUGGUAGCACAGCCCAAGGGGAAAGAAAGCCCCUUUGUUAUUCUCCAACUCCACUCAUGGAAGGAGUCCCCAUCAUUGAUGUCAGCUCACUUCACAACUAAGUUUUGUGACCAGGGAACCAG
RNAcentral lists this long non-coding RNA (1146 nucleotides) under Equus caballus (horse). RNAcentral describes it as "lncRNA (ENSECAG00000055214.1)". Lineage: Eukaryota; Metazoa; Chordata; Mammalia; Perissodactyla; Equidae. The record is from RNAcentral.